UGUUCAUUUUUUAGCAAGUACAAAGGUCUCGGAUUGGAGGGGUUCUCUAAUGUAAGCGAUAGACAUAAUUCUCCUUUUUUGUCAUUAAUUGGAACAUAUCAGGAAUUAAACUGCACUUUUUCUAAAAUAUUGUAGGAUGAUUUACAAGCUCUACGCCAAAAAUUCCUUUUUGAGAUUGUAACUUGCAAGGACAAUGAAAUUCAGCUGCCGUUAGUAACUUCUUUCCUGCAGAGACAUGGUUUCCGCAUAUUCAAGUGAAGCUUUGAGUGCCAAUCUUUACUCAUUCUGCAUAUGUAGUCACCUUAGGGUCUCAUUAAUACUGUCACCUUCAAGGGAAGUUGCACUGCAAGAUUCAACUCAAAGGAAUACUUCCAUGGGAAAAAUGUUUCCUUACCGAUAGAGUUAUCUUUUUUUUCUCUUCUGGUCUAGUGAUAGUUUCUUCCAAGACCUUCAGCUGUAAACAAUGUCCGGAAACAGCUGAAACAGUUUUGUAAACGAGCAGUAAGACAUGUACAUUUUUUUUGUCUUUCAUGACGCCUUGGUGAUACUAUCAUCACUCAAUUCAUCAAGCUGUAAGCUUACCACUUUUAUGACAGUUUUAGAAGUACCACUUUGUAACAAAUGUAAAAUGAAAUUUCAUGUUUUUUAUAAUUAAAAACUAGUUGAAUCAAUAGGAACAGCACCUAGGUUCAGAAAUAGGAACCGAUUUCUUUGGGAAACAGUAGAAACAG
This is a long non-coding RNA of Triticum aestivum (bread wheat), 731 nucleotides long. RefSeq lists it as uncharacterized. The transcript has 3 exons. Lineage: Eukaryota; Viridiplantae; Streptophyta; Magnoliopsida; Poales; Poaceae. The record is from RefSeq and is a predicted model, not a curated record.